GCCGGCAGCUAGCUCUCUGCAACUCUCACAUGGUCGCCCACUGAAGCUAAGCAGGGCUGCGCCCGGUCAGUACCUGGAUGGUAGACCACAUGGGAAAGCUAGGUUGCUGCCGGAA
Molecule: ribosomal RNA, 115 nt
Filed under: Danio rerio (zebrafish)
Lineage: Eukaryota; Metazoa; Chordata; Actinopteri; Cypriniformes; Danionidae
Source: RNAcentral